Molecule: long non-coding RNA, 6305 nt
Filed under: Volvox carteri
Lineage: Eukaryota; Viridiplantae; Chlorophyta; Chlorophyceae; Chlamydomonadales; Volvocaceae
Description: long non-coding RNA (VCAR_LNC002412)
Source: RNAcentral
CCGUGACACGGAAACACACAGUGCCAUACAGGCGCGAGGCGAUGGCAAUGCAAGUGCGUAAAAAACCAAUGCAAUUUUACAGCGGGUAUAUGAUCAAACGAAGUAAAACUUGAAACAUAAAAAGCAGGCUGACGAAGCUGCGCAUCCUGGCCAUUUCUGCAGUAUCGUGCCAUACGAAGAGUUUAAGCAGGGAUACUGCGUCUAAACACCUUGAUUCAAGCAUCUGCAGAUGCGACUGUGGGGCGGUCGAAGAUGAAAUGCACGUUGAGAGAGGUGAUCCAAUCCACACUUGCAGCGUUGAGAGAGGUGAUCCAAUCCACACUUGGAUCACCAUCCACACUUGCAGCGCGCCAGAGAUCUUCCAUGCCAUAAAUACCAGGGGCUUUCACAGCUAUGAAGCACAACCCAACAAGCAGGACAUGCCUCGUGAAACGAUGUCUACGUAUGAUAUUGAGCCAAAAGAUGUUAACAUGUGCGCAUAACAAUAGGCUCAUUCAAAAAAAGCCCGAAGCCCGAGAAUUAACAACAAGCAGGCAGAGCAAACACGUCCUUGGAAGGAGUAGCUGAGAGAGGUGAUCCAAUGGACCACCAUCCACAAUGGCAGCGAAGCAGAGACCUUCAAUGCCAUAAAUACCAGGGGCUUUCGCAGCUAUGAAGUACAACCCAAUAAGCAGGACAUGCCUCGUAACACGAUGUCGACCUAUGAUGUUGAGCCAGUAAUGUUAGCACGUGCGCAUAGUAGAAAAAUUAUUCAUAAAGUUUCCGACAUUUAACCUACUAAUAUUUUAUAAGGACGCAUACCACGCGACUGCCUUUGGAAGCGUCCCUCAAUGUCGUGCAGUUGGUUCCGGAGGAGGCGCGGACGCCAUCCAUACGUCUUCGUGUCUAGACCGUCCUCGUCAAUUUUUGCAGAUUGUUUUAUCGCAAUUUUACUGAUCAGCAGACGCCUGUCAGAAGCAUGGCUGGAGCGUAUGGCUUCCGUGAUCAGGAGCAUGAGCGCACACAUCACACGCGACAUCACUUAGUAUGACUAAGUGAUGCCAGCUGGCCCGAUGGCUCUACUCUUCGGGAGUCUGGAGCCCACUGUAACAACCACACACAGUAUGACAUGGCAUAGCAACUUUCUAACCCAGUCUGAACGGUAGCUGGAUUUGAUAGUCCUCCUACAUAGCAGUAUCCUAAUUGCCAAUUAUUGCGGUGCCCUAAUCUUAAUCCAAUACCAGUGUACUAAUCGUAAUCCUGGAUAUAGGUAUUUAUCCUAAUCCUGGGGCCGGGUCCCAAUCCUAAUCCUGGGGCCGGGUCCCAAUCCUAAUCCUACACUCGGGUCCUCAUCCUAAACCUGGCCUCAACUUUGUAUCCUAAUCCUGCCCCUCAUUCCAAAUCCUAAUUCCUGCCUGACCGGUACCCGAACCCAAUCCCUAAUCUUUGCAUCCCUCUGAUGAGGCUGAGACAUGAGUCCCCAACACCGGUAAACGGCAAAGUACCUUGUUUACAUCGUUGACAUACAAGAAAGGGUGGUUGUGUGGCACGUCUUCCCAACGUUUUGGCAGGUUAACCCGUGUCGCAAAAGCAGUUAAGCAGACCCAAAAUCAGAGAUGACAUCGUAAGUGUUGCGGUUAAGAUCUGACGUCGAUAGACCCAUGUUGGCCUGAAGACCUUCACAAAACAACAAACGGCGACCAAGAUUGAGUGAGCUGAUGGCCGCAAGGCACACAACCUCCCACACACACCCAUCAGAGGGAUGCAAAGAUUAGGGAUUGGGUUCGGGUACCGGUCAGGCAGGAAUUAGGAUUUGGAAUGAGGGGCAGGAUUAGGAUACAAAGUUGAGGCCAGGUUUAGGAUGAGGACCCGAGUGUAGGAUUAGGAUUGGGACCCGGCCCCAGGAUUAGGAUUGCGACCCGGCCCCAGGAUUAGGAUUGGGACCCGGCCCCAGGAUUAGGAUAAAUACCUAUAUCCAGGGUUACGAUUAGUACACUGGUAUUGGAUUAAGAUUAGGGCACCGCAAUAAUUGGCAAUUAGGAUACUGCUAUGUAGGAGGACUAUCAAAUCCAGCUACCGUUCAGACUGGAUUAGAAAGUUGCUAUGCCAUGUCAUACUAAGUGAUGUCGCGUGUGAUGUGUGCGCUCAUGCUCCUGAUCACGGAAGCCAUACGCUCCAGGAGCUCCAGCCAUGCUUCUGACAGGCGUCUGCUGAUCAGUAAAAUUGCGAUAAAACAAUCUGCAAAAAUUGACGAGGACGGUCUAGACACGAAGACGUAUGGAUGGCGUCCGCGCCUCCUCCGGAACCAACUGCACGACAUUGAGGGACGCUUCCAAAGGCAGUCGCGUGGUAUGCGUCCUUAUAAAAUAUUAGUAGGUUAAAUGUCGGAAACUUUAUGAAUAAUUUUUCUACUAUGCGCACGUGCUAACAUUACUGGCUCAACAUCAUAGGUCGACAUCGUGUUACGAGGCAUGUCCUGCUUAUUGGGUUGUACUUCAUAGCUGCGAAAGCCCCUGGUAUUUAUGGCAUUGAAGGUCUCUGCUUCGCUGCCAGUGUGGAUGGUGGUCCAUUGGAUCACCUCUCUCAGCUACUCCUUCGAAGGACGUGUUUGCUCUGCCUGCUUGUUGUUAAUUCUCGGGCUUCGGGCUUUUUAUGAAUGAGCCUAUUGUUAUGCGCACAUGUUAACAUCUUUUGGCUCAAUAUCAUACGUAGACAUCGUUUCACGAGGCAUGUCCUGCUUGUUGGGUUGUGCUUCAUAGCUGUGAAAGCCCCUGGUAUUUAUGGCAUGGAAGAUCUCUGGCGCGCUGCAAGUGUGGAUGGUGAUCCAUUGGAUCACCUCUCUCAACUUGUAGCUUAGAUGCGGCAGGAGCAAAGCGAGUAUAGCCUCUAAGCUAGGUUAUGUACGGCAGCCGUAUGGCUUGCUGAGAAUUCGAAUUUACUAUUUCAGCUGACAGCUCCAUAGUUCCGGCAUUCUGCCUACACUAUUGGAGCUUAUUAUUAUUGUUGCUCUCACUUUUAUCCAAGACCUUACCGACUACCCUCAAGCCUCAUCGACGCUCUACCACAACGAAUCGACAUCGCCGCGGACCUGUCACUCUCCGAGGAACAACCAGGAGCUCCGUCACAAAAAUCAAAAAAUGACGGGUAAGAGGACAAAGGCAACGGGAGAUAACCUGGUCAACGCAGGAGCGGCCGAAGCAGCCGGCGAAGGGGGAUCGGGCCAGAUGCUGCCAGCCAACCAAAACGACAUAGAAGCCGCCAGGGAUACUUUGAGCGGGAACAUAGACCAGCCGACUCUUCACCAGCUGCUGCUGGGCGUCCUGUCAGCAGCGCAGGCCAACGCGCCAAAAGCGCCAGCCAGGGAUCCCCGGACAGCACCGCCUCGGGAUCGCUCUCCUGACGUUGUCAUCACNNNNNNNNNNNNNNNNNNNNNNNNNNNNNNNNNNNNNNNNNNNNNNNNNNUUAUUAUAAAGCGGGAGUGGGAGAUGGUCUUUACUGCAUGGUUAGUACUACCACAUAAACGUCGGCGUUGCUGCCUAUUUGAAGUCGACUUAAUGACAUUCUGGUAGCUGUUUGAAUGGCUUUCUUAAACCAGAGCGUGCCUGCCGUAAACCUAUCAAGCAAUAUUUUACAGCUAUUCUCUGCUUCCAUGAUUCUAGAAGAAAGUCAGAGACUUACCGAAGCUGUUAUGCUUACGUAAUGGUUCCACCAAAUGAUUUUUGCGUUACAUGUCCGGUGGGCCCACUCCACGCCACUCAUUGAACACGGGUCCCACCUCGCUGUCCUUCGCAGGGGCCAUACACCCCACCAAUCGACAUGGCCGGACGUCGUGUGAAUCAGCAGAGUCGUUCAUUGACGUUGGCGAAGGAGAGGUUAACAGUAUCUCUAGCCAGCACGUAGGAAAUUACUUUGGAGGGUGGCGGGAACAUGCUGAACAUGGGAACAUGCGGGAACAUGCUGAACAUGUGCUCUGGGCGGCCGCGGUCUGGCUAUGAAAUGUGAGACUGCCGUUGGGAGGGUGUUGGGCUGCUGUUACUUGGUCGUUGAUCGUUGGCCGUUGUAAUAUUCGGCAUGUUUUCAUGGCUUCCAUCUCAAUCAAUUCCCGCAGCGUACGCUGCUCUGCUGCCUUGUGACUGGCAGGCAGGCGUGAUUUCCUCGCGGGAUACCAUUUUUCCUUUGCGAACAGCUAGUGCGUGCGGACUGCAUGCAAUGCUCCUGACUAUUCAAGCCCCUCCACAAAUGGAAAGACCUCGACUGAUGGGUUGUGAGCAGUCGUAACGGCUGCUCACUGACGGAAGCACGACAAAGCGCAAGGGAUUAACCGAGGCGAAUACCGAGGCGGAUAGGAAAGCGAGACAGUGUAACGGCGCAUGCUCUUUACGCUGCCUGAACAGGCACCGAAUGCGCUGACCAACGGCCACUAUUCUAAGUGCGCAGCAGCGCCGCGUCCUCUUCCUAACGCCAGUUUGUUUCCACGUGCACCACAUUACAUAAACUCCCGCCGCAUAUACGUACGUGUUCCAUCACAUCGUCAGCUCUCUCCAUCACUUUCACCCGCAGAUCGGGAUCUACUGCCGCACUCAAAUCUCUAUAUUUUAUUUGAACUUGUCCUAAGGGUAAAAGAAGACCUAGAGCCUUGGGGGAGGCCUACCUGCUCAGGGAUCACAUCUAUCCUGGAAACAAAUAAAGCUGCUAUGACUGAGAAAGGUAAUUGUAACGACAACCAACCCGGGAGCAAGCGAACCGAAAUUGCUUCAAUCCAACUCUUAAGGAAGUUUUCAUUUAACUCGGAAAUUUUCUUAGGAGCAAAGGGAGGCAAGAAAAUCCGCACACUGACGCAGUCAUCGUAACACACAUCCUCAUUAGGAGAACGUCGGGAAUCGACGGGAGAGCGAAGGACGGAAGGCGCGACGCGCAUACGGCCGAUGCCUGCCGCAAAGACAAUCAGAGCAGAGCCAGGCCGUACUAACUUCACUGGACACAAACCCUCAGCUAGUACGCUUAUACAAAAACGAUGAGGCCAGAGGGGUGCAAAGUGGUCCUAAUCCUCUAAUCCAGGGGGUGGGUACCGGUCAGCAAUCCUCUAAUCUCAACAGGGGUGGACCACUUCUAAUCCCUAAUCCAGAGUGGUGGUCUAAUCCAUAUCCUAGGGUCGGGGUUCUAAUCCUAAUCCUGUGGCCGGGUCCCAAUCCCAAUCCUGGGGGGGGUCCCAAUCCUAAUCCUGGGGCCGGACCGUAUUCCUAACUCUGAGGCUGGGGUCCCAAUCCGAAUCCUCUUGGUCGUGUCGUAAUCCUUAUCGUGGAGCUGUUAUCGUGUGACUGAUUCGGUAAAACCUUAAUUUCGGCUGGGGGGCCCAAUCCUAAUAGAAGGGUGCCGUGACACGGAAACACACAGUGCCAUACAGGCGCGAGGCGAUGGCAAUGCAAGUGCGUAAAAAACCAAUGCAAUUUUACAGCGGGUAUAUGAUCAAACGAAGUAAAACUUGAAACAUAAAAAGCAGGCUGACGAAGCUGCGCAUCCUGGCCAUUUCUGCAGUAUCGUGCCAUACGAAGAGUUUAAGCAGGGAUACUGCGUCUAAACACCUUGAUUCAAGCAUCUGCAGAUGCGACUGUGGGGCGGUCGAAGAUGAAAUGCACGUUGAGAGAGGUGAUCCAAUCCACACUUGCAGCGUUGAGAGAGGUGAUCCAAUCCACACUUGGAUCACCAUCCACACUUGCAGCGCGCCAGAGAUCUUCCAUGCCAUAAAUACCAGGGGCUUUCACAGCUAUGAAGCACAACCCAACAAGCAGGACAUGCCUCGUGAAACGAUGUCUACGUAUGAUAUUGAGCCAAAAGAUGUUAACAUGUGCGCAUAACAAUAGGCUCAUUCAAAAAAAGCCCGAAGCCCGAGAAUUAACAACAAGCAGGCAGAGCAAACACGUCCUUGGAAGGAGUAGCUGAGAGAGGUGAUCCAAUGGACCACCAUCCACAAUGGCAGCGAAGCAGAGACCUUCAAUGCCAUAAAUACCAGGGGCUUUCGCAGCUAUGAAGUACAACCCAAUAAGCAGGACAUGCCUCGUAACACGAUGUCGACCUAUGAUGUUGAGCCAGUAAUGUUAGCACGUGCGCAUAGUAGAAAAAUUAUUCAUAAAGUUUCCGACAUUUAACCUACUAAUAUUUUAUAAGGACGCAUACCACGCGACUGCCUUUGGAAGCGUCCCUCAAUGUCGUGCAGUUGGUUCCGGAGGAGGCGCGGACGCCAUCCAUACGUCUUCGUGUCUAGACCGUCCUCGUCAAUUUUUGCAGAUUGUUUUAUCGCAAUUUUACUGAUCAGCAGACGCCUGUCA